AUACGUAGGGGGCGAGCGUUGUCCGGAAUUACUGGGCGUAAAGGGUGCGUAGGCGGCCCAUUAAGUCAUGUGUGAAAAACCUGGGCUUAACCGAGGUAUUGCAUGUGAAACUGGUGGGCUUGUGUGCAGGAGAGGGAAGUGGAAUUCCUAGUGUAGCGGUGAAAUGCGUAGAGAUUAGGAGGAACACCAGUGGCGAAGGCGGCUUUCUGGCCUGUAACUGACGCUGAGGCACGAGAGCGUGGGGAGCAAACAGGAUUAGAUACCCUGGUAGUCCACGCUGUAAACGAUGGAUACUAGGUGUAGGCUGCGGUUUAAGCGGUCUGUGCCGGAGUUAACGCAAUAAGUAUCCCGCCUGGGGAGUACGGCCGCAAGGUUGAA
This 378-nucleotide ribosomal RNA is filed under the name uncultured bacterium. RNAcentral describes it as "bacterial SSU rRNA". It matches the Rfam family "Bacterial small subunit ribosomal RNA", at positions 523 to 898 of the family's 1533-position model. The record is from RNAcentral.